Molecule: ribosomal RNA, 462 nt
Filed under: uncultured bacterium
Lineage: Bacteria
Description: bacterial SSU rRNA
Rfam family: Bacterial small subunit ribosomal RNA
Source: RNAcentral
CGCUGGCGGCGUGCCUAACACAUGCAAGUCGAACGAGGUCCAAGGAAGCUUGCUUCCUGAAGACCUAGUGGCGAACGGGUGAGUAACACGUGAGAAACCUGCCUCGGAGUGGGGAAUAACUCGGGGAAACUCGAGCUAAUACCGCAUACCUUCACAUGAUCGCAUGGUCGAGUGAAGAAAGAAUUUCGCUCUGAGAGGGUCUCGCGGCCUAUCAGCUUGUUGGUGGGGUAACGGCCUACCAAGGGCAACGACGGGUAGCUGGUUUGAGAGAACGAUCAGCCACACUGGGACUGAGACACGGCCCAGACUCCUACGGGAGGCAGCAGUGGGGAAUCUUGCGCAAUGGGCGAAUGCCUGACGCAGCAACGCCGCGUGCGGGAUGACGGCCUUCGUGGUUGUAAACCGCUUUCAGCAGGGACGAAAAUGACGGUACCUGCAGAAGAAGCCCCGGCUAACUACGUG